GAUGAACGCUGGCGGCGUGCCUAAUACAUGCAAGUCGAGCGAACAGACGAGGAGCUUGCUCCUCUGACGUUAGCGGCGGACGGGUGAGUAACACGUGGAUAACCUACCUAUAAGACUGGGAUAACUUCGGGAAACCGGAGCUAAUACCGUAUAAUAUAUUGAACCGCAUGGUUCAAUAGUGAAAGACGGUUUUGCUGUCACUUAUAGAUGGAUCCGCGCCGCAUUAGCUAGUUGGUAAGGUAACGGCUUACCAAGGCAACGAUGCGUAGCCGACCUGAGAGGGGGAUAGGCCACACUGGAGCUGAGACACGGUCCAGACUCCUACGGCAGGCAGCAGUAGGGAAUCUUCCGCAAUGGGCGAAAGCCUGACGGAGCAACGCCGCGUGAGUGAUGAAGGUCUUCGGAUCGUAAAACUCUGUUAUUAGGGAAGAACAAAUGUGUAAGUAACUAUGCACGUCUUGACGGUACCUAAUCAGAAAGCCACGGCUAACUACGUG
Molecule: ribosomal RNA, 497 nt
Filed under: uncultured bacterium
Lineage: Bacteria
Description: partial 16S ribosomal RNA
Rfam family: Bacterial small subunit ribosomal RNA
Source: RNAcentral